CAGCCAGCCUCCAGAACUAGCCUUGAGUCAUGGGUAUAUCAGAACACCUGUGGAUCAGAAUGAAAUGACAUGUGCUGUUGUAACUGGUUUUAUGCAUUCUGGAUUCGUGUCCCUUCGCACCUGCUUACCCCCAGCGUUUACUCCACGUGUAAUCACUUGCUCAAUGACUCAGCCCUAAACAGCGGAAGAGAAUGGCUUUGUCCAUCUCAGUCCAGGGUCUGCUCAGCCCCUAGAACCGUGGGAGGCACAUGCUUGGGCUGUGCCCUAUGUGUAAGGUGGAGAAAUCGCGGGCAAACCAAUGCCUAGAGUCCUGGAUCACGUACAUGCUGAUGACGCCAGGGACACUUUCAAUAACAUUGGGUUUCAGGGAUAAUCUGGAAUUAGAAUUUUUGUUUUACAUCAUAAGAUUAAUCACUUAUUGUGUCAAAUUUUCCAUCAGAUUCCCCUCCUGGGGCUGAGGACUCCAGACACUCAGCAGGUAACAACUUUUCCUUUUUUCUGGAAAGAUGGAACUGCAAAUGGUUAUAACAUGACCUCACUCUCCUUUCCUCAGAACGUAGACCACACAGAGCAAUGAGAAAAUAAGACACUGUAGAUGAGUCUCGUCCUCAAAGUCUGUUCAAUUGGAGAGUGCGCUGACUUGCUUUCUGUGUUCUUUUAUGAAGGAAGAGAGGAGAUUUACCUCUUUGCCUCGCGUGAGGUUAAACAUUGCAGCUGAGGGCCACCUUUGCAUCUGCCCCAAAUGCGAUAGCACAGUGUGGCUGGGUGAUGCCCCACGAGAGGAAAAUGAUAGAAAACAUUCUGUCUUUGAAGCACUCCAGCCAUUUGUUCCCACUGAGCUUGGCUCUGGCUUGUGGAUAGAUUCCACGGUACUCACAUCCCUGUACUCAAACUGGUGACAAGCUCCAGGUCCCCAAUUGCUUGGAAGCAGAGGCUCACCCAGCAGUGGCCGGGAACAGGAGGGCCGAGGGGGUCAAGGGGCGGCUGCUGUCCCCAUCCUGGAUGGAGAUGAAGGGGAGAGCAAGACCUCCAGGCCACUGCCUCCAGGGGGCCUGGGACUCGUGUCCGCUCCACUUUGAAGAGUCAGAAGAAGGCCUAGGCAGGCAGGGGCGCUGUGUGGAAUUCCGGCUGCUUCAAAGGCAUCGUGAAAUAUUAAUCUUUAUCACUUGACUUUCUGGAAAAGACGUGGCAAGUGGGUAGGACCGGCCCUGUGCCGAGGAGAGCAGUGACUCAGGGGAGGUUUCUCUUGGCACAUCCUGUUCCUCACUCAUCAGAGGCUUCUCCACACAGCCUCCUGCUCCAGAGGGACGCAAGCUCUCCCUGCACAGGAGGGAGGGUGGCUGAGGCCAGGGUCAGGGCCAGGGGUCUUUCCUGUCAUUAUACUACCAGUUGAGCAUCCCAAAUCAGAAAGUCCAAAAUCUGAAAUACUCCAAUGAGCAUUGCCUUUGAGAGUCAUGUUGGUGCUCAGGUUUUAGAUUUUGGAGCAUUUUGAAUGUGAAAUUUUCUGAUUAGGGAUACUCACCCUGUACUAGAUCUGAUCAAAGAGAUAUACGUGGAAAUACAAUAUCAACUUCUAGAAUGCAUUCUUAAAGAAAGCGGUCUGCCCCUCUCCCCUCUGUUCUCCCUCCUGCAGGGUGGAAUGCCGGCAUGUUCUUGGAGUACGAGGCAUACUUGGGAACUGAGUCAACACAUGGCGUAUCACUGAGACAGAGCAGCCCCAGAACACAUACCGGGGAGUACAGGAGCCUAGGCCACGUACCCAACAUUGUAGGCAGAGAAAAAAGAAAGUGUAUUCCAUGUGGUGCAUUCCAGGCCUUAGAAUAAAAUUAAAAGGGAAAUCAAUGAAGACACAUCCACUGUUAACACUCUCAUCUUCAAUGUUUGACCAGUGGCUGAACUGUUUGGAGUUGCAGAUCGAUAUUUCUCUUUUAUAGUUUUAGGUGCUUGUAAUUGCUCUUUAAUGCUCAUGUUUACUCUUAUUCUGUGUGUCUUUAACUCAUAAAGACAGUUUUCCAUGAGA
Molecule: long non-coding RNA, 2020 nt
Organism: Gorilla gorilla gorilla (western lowland gorilla)
Lineage: Eukaryota; Metazoa; Chordata; Mammalia; Primates; Hominidae
Exons: 3
Source: RefSeq, a predicted model, not a curated record